Molecule: ribosomal RNA, 250 nt
Filed under: uncultured prokaryote
Description: partial 16S ribosomal RNA
Rfam family: Bacterial small subunit ribosomal RNA
Source: RNAcentral
UACGGAGGAUGCGAGCGUUAUCCGGAUUUAUUGGGUUUAAAGGGUGCGCAGGCGGCUUGCUAAGCGGGAGGUGAAAUGCCGGCGCUCAACGUCGGAAGUGCCUCCCGAACUGGUGGGCUGGAAUGACUCUGGCGUGGGAGGAAUGUGUAGUGUAGCGGUGAAAUGCUUAGAGGUUACACAGAACACCGAUUGCGAAGGCGUCUCACGAAGGGUCGAUUGACGCUGAGGCACGAAAGCGUGGGGAUCAAAC